Poeciliopsis prolifica (blackstripe livebearer) is the source of this 336-nucleotide long non-coding RNA. RefSeq lists it as uncharacterized. NCBI's taxonomy places the organism in Eukaryota, Metazoa, Chordata, Actinopteri, Cyprinodontiformes, Poeciliidae. The transcript has 3 exons. The record is from RefSeq and is a predicted model, not a curated record.
GGCCGGAGGAGGCCAAGAGGUCAGAGGGCAGAACCAGAACUGGACCCGGUGCCACCAUGUUGAAGUGUUAACCAGGUGCAUUCUGGGAGUUGAGACGGAUCAGAUGGUUGUUUGUUGUUGACGUCAAUGAUUCGUUCUGGGAAUCUGGAAAAACAGAUUUCAUGAUCACUUUCUGGAAAGAACCCAUAAAACCCUCUGGUAAUUUUGUUGAGCAACCAGCAUUUCACACCAUGAAGAACUCUUAGAGGUUAUAAAUGAAUGUUCAAACUGAUUGAACUGGUGGAUGAAGAACUGGAGGUUGCAGAGCUGACAGGCUGGAAAACCAUCGAUCUGUCC